Molecule: ribosomal RNA, 372 nt
Filed under: uncultured Prostomatea
Lineage: Eukaryota; Ciliophora; Prostomatea
Description: SSU rRNA
Rfam family: Eukaryotic small subunit ribosomal RNA
Source: RNAcentral
CCAGCUCCAAUAGCGUAUAUUAAUGUUGUUGCAGUUAAAAAGCUCGUAGUUGAAUGUCUGAUUAUAUUAUUAGCUGGCUUUGGUCGUUAAUAAUAUAAUCAUCCGUUAGAGAACUAUAGCCGUCCUUUAUUGGUCACUAUAUGAGAUCUAACAUUUUACUUUGAAAAAAUUAGAGUGUUCAAGGCAGGCAAUCGUCAUGAAUACUAUAGCAUAGAAUAAUGGAAUAGGACUUUGGUUCAUUUUAUUGGUUAUUGAACCUUAGUAAUGAUUAACAGGGACAGUUGGGGGCAUUAGUAUUUAAUUGUCAGAGGUGAAAUUCUUGGAUUUAUUAAAGACUAACUUAUGCGAAAGCAUUUGCCAAGGAUGUUUUCA